AGAUGGCGACCGGCGCACGGGUGAGUAACACGUAUCCAACCUGCCGAUAACUCGGGGAUAGCCUUUCGAAAGAAAGAUUAAUACCCGAUGGCAUAAUAGAACCGCAUGGUUUGAUUAUUAAAGAAUUUCGGUUAUCGAUGGGGAUGCGUUCCAUUAGGCAGUUGGUGGGGUAACGGCCCACCAAACCUUCGAUGGAUAGAGGUUCUGAGAGGAAGGUCCCCCACAUUGGAACUGAGACACGGUCCAA
This 247-nucleotide ribosomal RNA is filed under the name uncultured bacterium. RNAcentral describes it as "partial 16S ribosomal RNA". It matches the Rfam family "Bacterial small subunit ribosomal RNA", at positions 86 to 334 of the family's 1533-position model. The record is from RNAcentral.